CAACCCUCAAGCUCUGCUUGGUAUUGGGUGUCAUCUGGCAACAGAUGCAUCUUAAAAUCAGUGGCGGUGCCAUCUGGCUUCAAGCGUAGUAAUUCUUUCGCUCUGGAGGUUCUAGGUGUGUUCUUGCUCUCAACCCCUAAUUUCUCAA
This 148-nucleotide unclassified non-coding RNA is filed under the name uncultured Helotiales. RNAcentral's name for it is "sequence contains ITS2". The record is from RNAcentral. Lineage: Eukaryota; Fungi; Ascomycota; Leotiomycetes; Helotiales.